Molecule: small nucleolar RNA, 226 nt
Organism: Catenaria anguillulae PL171
Lineage: Eukaryota; Fungi; Blastocladiomycota; Blastocladiomycetes; Blastocladiales; Catenariaceae
Rfam family: Small nucleolar RNA U3
About the family: Small nucleolar RNAs (snoRNAs) are involved in the processing and modification of rRNA in the nucleolus.
Source: Rfam
UCGACGAUACUCUUAGGAUCAUGUAUCUAGUAUCUGUCUACAUCUGGAUUUUCUCAAAUUCAGACACCAAUACAUACCAUGGAAGAUGCCCUUUAUGAGUUCGACUCUCAAGAGUGAGAAGUGGCAAGUAUUUGUUGGCCCUUUGGCGCCAGCCUUGCGAGUCGAGGACCUCGGCCGCCCUAAGCAUUCCUUGGGUGCGUCGUGGAGUCGAACUGUUCUGACAUGG